UUUAGAGACAUAAUCUGUUUAAUAAAUAUGACUGUAAAAGCAAUAAACAAUAACAAUUAUACAUUAAGCUACAUUGUAUUUAACGAAAGGGGAAAAGAAGAUGAAAAAGUACAUCAAAAAAAGUAAUUUUAAAAUUAGAAAUAGUUCCAACACUAUAAGAAAAGUUUUUGAUAGGCUUACUAUAAAAAUAAGUUGGCUAAUGUUGGACUUCAGUGGGGACUAUUGUACAGUUUCUGCCAAUACUUGCCCAUCUUUCGUAAAGCUGUAGUUGCAAAGACAAUAGCAAAGCCAAACUGCUGUGUUUCUCUACCUGUCCUUAGAGAAACUACAGAAAGAGGCAGAGGACCCUGUUCAAUGUUUAGCCUUUAACUACAAUGUGUCUAACGUUCUCACACGUGGUAUCACUUUUUUAAUUUGCCAGCAAGGAAGCUGAUUCGGGCUUAUACCCAAUUUGUGCCAGAGAAAUUCAAACCCACCACCAUCACAAAACCCCUGUCUCAGGGCUCUGGGCAACACCAGCAACACUGCUUUCUCCUGGUUUUGACUCAGUUUGCUGUGCACAAUGUCUACUGACCAAAAUCCACUCUUGUCAGGAAUCAGAGCGUCUCCUACAUGUGCUACACUGAUUAUGAACUGGUCUCUAUUUGCCUUCAUCUAACACAGUUAAGUGUAUAUUGGUUACUGUCGAUCGUUGUUUGCACUUCAAAUAAAAGUCCUGAAGCUAGGUUUACCUGAGUUGGGUUGGAAAUCAACAGCUGUAAAGACCACAGGUUAGUAUGCAGAUAGCCAGUGUCUUGGGAGGACUUGUUUGAGGUAUGCUAAACUUGUUUUCCUGCUGUUCCCUUUCAUACUCUACGUGAACAUAUCCUGCAGCGUAAUUUCUAGUUUCAGUGUAAGAUACAAGCUUAUUGGUAAGAAAUCAAAUCUUGUACAAGAGUAGUCCUGUGGAGCUGGGACUCAACAUGCAUGGCAACAAUCUCAGGCCAAAUCCUCCUUUAUUCUCCCUCCUGUGCCCAGAGUGGCAGGAGUUUGUCCAGAUCUCCAACCAAGAUGGGUUGCUGAGAAGGUCAUAGGAAACUGUGCAUAGACCUGCUCCCUAUCCUAUGGGCAAAGUGUCUUUCAAAAAACUGACAAGCCUUGGGAUGACUCCCAAAGGCAAAAUCUCCUGGGGCUUCCCCAG
Molecule: long non-coding RNA, 1180 nt
Filed under: Strigops habroptila (Kakapo)
Lineage: Eukaryota; Metazoa; Chordata; Aves; Psittaciformes; Psittacidae
Description: lncRNA (ENSSHBG00005004305.1)
Source: RNAcentral